RNAcentral lists this ribosomal RNA (484 nucleotides) under uncultured Oscillibacter sp. RNAcentral describes it as "partial 16S ribosomal RNA". The record is from RNAcentral. Lineage: Bacteria; Bacillati; Bacillota; Clostridia; Eubacteriales; Oscillospiraceae.
CACGUAGUUAGCCGUGGCUUAUUCAAGGGGUACCGUCUUCUGCUCUUCCCCUUUAAAAGAAGUUUACAACCCGAAAGCCUUCUUCCUUCACGCGGCGUUGCUGGGUCAGGCUUGCGCCCAUUGCCCAAUAUUCCCCACUGCUGCCUCCCGUAGGAGUCUGGGCCGUAUCUCAGUCCCAAUGUGGCCGGUCAACCUCUCAGUCCGGCUACUGAUCGUCGCCUAGGUGGGCCGUUACCCCGCCUACUAGCUAAUCAGACGCGAGGCCAUCUUCCAGCGAUAAAUCUUUGACAUGUCCGUGAUGCCACGGUCAUGUGUCAUGCGGUAUUAGCAGUCGUUUCCAACCGUUGUCCCCCUCUCGGAAGGCAGGUUCCUCGACGCGUUACUCACCACGUCCGCCACUAACGCAUUCCCUUCCACUUGUACCGAAAACUCUUUACGAGGGGUGCGUCCGUUCGACUUUCGCUACUGUGUUAAGUCACCGCCG